RNAcentral lists this ribosomal RNA (253 nucleotides) under uncultured bacterium. RNAcentral's name for it is "partial 16S ribosomal RNA". It matches the Rfam family "Bacterial small subunit ribosomal RNA", at positions 524 to 776 of the family's 1533-position model. The record is from RNAcentral.
UACGUAGGGCGCGAGCGUUGUCCGGAAUUAUUGGGCGUAAAGAGCUCGUAGGCGGCCUGUUGCGUCCGCUGUGAAAUCCCGGGGCUCAACCCCGGGCUUGCAGUGGAUACGGGCUGGCUAGAGGCAGGCAGGGGAGAACGGAAUUCCCGGUGUAGCGGUGAAAUGCGCAGAUAUCGGGAGGAACACCGGUGGCGAAGGCGGGUCUCUGGGCAGUAACUGACGCUGAGGAGCGAAAGCGUGGGGAGCGAACAGG